Molecule: ribosomal RNA, 178 nt
Filed under: uncultured Pseudonocardia sp.
Lineage: Bacteria; Bacillati; Actinomycetota; Actinomycetes; Pseudonocardiales; Pseudonocardiaceae
Description: partial 16S ribosomal RNA
Rfam family: Bacterial small subunit ribosomal RNA
Source: RNAcentral
UUCGCCCUCCUACGGGAGGCAGCAGUGGGGAAUAUUGCGCAAUGGGCGAAAGCCUGACGCAGCGACGCCGCGUGAGGGAUGAAGGCCUUCGGGUUGUAAACCUCUUUCAGCAGGGGCGAAAACAGACGGUACCUGCAGAAGAAGCACCGGCCAACUACGUGCCAGCAGCCGCGGUAAU